Oreochromis aureus is the source of this 393-nucleotide long non-coding RNA. The record is from Ensembl. NCBI's taxonomy places the organism in Eukaryota, Metazoa, Chordata, Actinopteri, Cichliformes, Cichlidae.
CCAACAGUAUCGCUCAGUGGUCGCGUCCACGGGUUUCCUCCAUUGUUAAAGUUGAAAACUAUUGAAUCCAUAGAGUGUGUUAGAGUUUGGGAUGUACCGGGAUAAACGGGAAUGGCUUCACUAACACUCGCGUCUCUCUGCUGGGCUCUGCCGAUCCUCUUCGUCGUGGUUUUCGCCGCUGACGGAUGCUCCCAGUUUCUCCUCUGCUAAAGGAGACAAUGAAGGAAGCAUUAUUCGCGAGCUCAGCAGAGUCUCAGGUGGUGUAGCUGGUAGACUGUUGUGCACCGAGGUCCAGUCCCACUGCUGUAUUCUCACCUUCUCACCCAGAACAACCUCUCCUUGCUCUCUGUGUCUCCCAGUUACCAGGUAAAAUAUCCUCUGUGGAAACCCAGC